UCUGUGCUCGGUCUCGCUCCAG
RNAcentral lists this microRNA (22 nucleotides) under Mus musculus (house mouse). RNAcentral's name for it is "mmu-miR-6965-3p". Lineage: Eukaryota; Metazoa; Chordata; Mammalia; Rodentia; Muridae. The record is from miRBase by way of RNAcentral.